CCUACGGUAGGCAGCAGUGAGGAAUAUUGGUCAAUGGACGGAAGUCUGAACCAGCCAUGCCGCGUGCAGGAUGACGGCCCUAUGAGUUGUAAACUGCUUUUGUAUUAGGGUAAACACCCCUACGUGUACGUGCUUGAAUGUACAUUACGAAUAAGCAUCGGCUAACUCCGUGCCAGCAGCCGCGGUAAUACGGGGGAUGCAAGCGUUAUCCGGAUUUAUUGGGUUUAAAGGGUGCGUAGGCUGUGAGGUAAGUCAGCGGUGAAAUGCCCCCGCUCAACGGGGUGAAGUGCCAUUGAUACUGCCUGGCUGGAAUGCGGAUGCCGUAGGAGGAAUGUGUGGUGUAGCGGUGAAAUGCAUAGAUAUCACACAGAACACCGAUUGCGAAGGCAUCUCACGAAGCCGCGAUUGACGCUGAUGCACGAAAGCGUGGGUAUCAAACAGGAUUAGAUACCCGUGUAGUC
Molecule: ribosomal RNA, 461 nt
Filed under: uncultured bacterium
Lineage: Bacteria
Description: partial 16S ribosomal RNA
Rfam family: Bacterial small subunit ribosomal RNA
Source: RNAcentral